Molecule: long non-coding RNA, 1475 nt
Filed under: Polistes canadensis
Lineage: Eukaryota; Metazoa; Arthropoda; Insecta; Hymenoptera; Vespidae
Description: uncharacterized LOC106792755, transcript variant X1
Source: RNAcentral
CUUGAGCGCUAGCACUCUAUCACAGCUAACAGCGUUUCUAUGGGAACGUUAAUGAUUCCAUAGUUACAAAGACUUUCUUCUUCNGUUGUUUGAAAAUAAAUUAGUUAGUCAAGAAGUUGCACUUACUCGCUCCAUAACGUAUUAAUCCUCAACGCAUUUUUGUUAUCCGUUUUUGUUCUUGUUUUCGUUUUGUUCUGUAAUAGUUUAUAAAUAAAUAAAUGUUACAUNAAAAUAGUAGUGGUGAUCAGAGUUCAAACCAAUAGUAUUCUAGUUCCUGAUUCUUGCCGCUACAUUUAUGUUGAUUGAGCUGCCAUCUGGUGUUACUAGCGGGAGUUGGCUGAGACGCCACAAAUGUUAUAUAUGUAAAAAAAUGUACUUUCUUUAAAAUUGAAUUUGCCGCGCUAUCACAGUUGGGUAGUAAACUUGGCAAUAUGGAUUGAUGAUUAGAGAGGAAUAUAUAGAUACGAAAAAAGAGAACAGAAAGCACGUAUGUAAUUUUUAGUGCAAAACAAAGGGCAAAUAAAAGUAUAACGUGGAAAAAGGAACUUUAAUUGUCGUUUCUCUGUUGGGUCAAAAUGCCGUCGAAAAGAAAUGUCAAUAAUUCUUCUACAAGUAUAAAAACCGAUAAAAUGAAAAAAGCAAAAUCAGUCAAGACAUGUUUUAAUUGUGAUGAAGAAAAUUUAAAAUAUGCUCUUAUAAUAUGCUUAAAAAUGAAGAAAAAAUUGCUACAGCAAGCAAAUUAUAUAAUGUUCUUGAGACAAUUCUACAUAAUAGAUUUUAUAAAAUAGUCUCCUGAAAUUAUUGGAAGAGUUGGACUUGUAUCUAUACUUAUUAGUAAGAUUGAGGAUCGGUUAAAAGAAUGGGUGUUGGAAAUUUGUUAUAAAGAUGGUGCACCGGGAAUAAAGUGGUUUUAAGGAUUUGUGAAACACCGCCUACGAGUUAGUCGUAAAAAAGCUGAGAAUCAGGGAUACUAUAACUGAACAUCAUAUUCGUGCAUGGUUUAGUAUGAAAGAUUUUUAAGAAAGAAAUUUAAGAUUUAUAAGAAAGAUUUAAAAACAAAAGUAAAUAUAUUUAAAGAUCCUCGAUAGGUUUUUAACAUAGAUGAAAUUGCUAUCUAUCUGUUGCAGAGUGGAGGUAUUGUCUUAUCUAAAAAAGGGAAAAGCUGUUUAUGACGUAACAAGAAAUGAAAAAGAAAAUGUAACAUUAUUUACUGUAAACGCAUGUGGAGAAUCGGUAAAACUGAAAAUGGAUAGAUGUUCAUAAGCGUAAUGUACCUUCAUUGUUCGUUAAGGUUAUUACUAAAAAUGAUUUUGUUGCAUCUAUAAAAAAUGGCUUUGCUACAACUGGUUCGUAUUGAUUAACACUAAACCUACCACUCGCAGUCAAAUGACCAUGUUCUGUAAUUUAUAAAAAUGUGAUAAUUUGUAAAAAAUGCAGUAAAAUCUCAUAAAAUAUACAUUAUUCAUUUCUAAAUG